Molecule: long non-coding RNA, 450 nt
Organism: Cynocephalus volans (Philippine flying lemur)
Lineage: Eukaryota; Metazoa; Chordata; Mammalia; Dermoptera; Cynocephalidae
Exons: 3
Source: RefSeq, a predicted model, not a curated record
CCAAAUAGAAGUACAAGGUAUUUACGUCAUUAGAUUUUUCAACAAAAUUCUAUGGUCACCUGAAGAAGACAAAUUUGGUUUCCCAACCUAGAACUACUCAAGUUGUUAAAGAAAUCAAGAAACUGUGGAGUGGAGAAUACUGAAAGAAUUGCAAUCUGAUCCUUCAAGCAGUGAAAGGGCGAGCCCUUCCACCGAGCAGGUGACCAUUCUUGGCAAGAUGUGUGAACUUUAACAUACAGCUCUCUCUGGCUGCCUGCACCAAAAUGUCUUCAGAAUUUCACACAGAAGAGGCUCUUUUUGCCUCCAUUUUCUUUUUCUCUUGAGGAAAGCAAACAAACAAACAUCAUUUGAGGUGGAGCCACUUUACUUUUUAGACAGAAAUAUCAACUCUAUUGAAUUUGAAAUGUAUAACUAAAUAGAUUGAAAGCUAUCCUAGCACUCAGCAUGUAA